AUUGAACGCUGGCGGCAUGCCUAACACAUGCAAGUCGAACGGCAGCACAGCAGUAGCAAUACUGUGGGUGGCGAGUGGCGGACGGGUGAGGAAUACGUCGGAAUCUGCCCAGUCGUGGGGGAUAACUAGCCGAAAGGUUAGCUAAUACCGCAUACGACCGAGAGGUGAAAGCGGGGGACCGCAAGGCCUCGCGCGAUUGGAUGAGCCGACGUCGGAUUAGCUAGUUGGCGGGGUAAAGGCCCACCAAGGCGACGAUCCGUAGCUGGUCUGAGAGGAUGAUCAGCCACACUGGAACUGAGACACGGUCCAGACUCCUACGGGAGGCAGCAGUGGGGAAUAUUGGACAAUGGGCGCAAGCCUGAUCCAGCAAUGCCGCGUGUGUGAAGAAGGCCUUCGGGUUG
Molecule: ribosomal RNA, 401 nt
Filed under: uncultured bacterium
Lineage: Bacteria
Description: bacterial SSU rRNA
Rfam family: Bacterial small subunit ribosomal RNA
Source: RNAcentral